Molecule: long non-coding RNA, 548 nt
Organism: Lemur catta (Ring-tailed lemur)
Lineage: Eukaryota; Metazoa; Chordata; Mammalia; Primates; Lemuridae
Exons: 3
Source: RefSeq, a predicted model, not a curated record
GAUCCUCCUGCCCCAGCUUCCCCAGUAGCUGGGACUAUAGGAUCCAGCUGCCGAGAAGGAAGGAAGAGAAGAAAGGAAACUUCUGUUGCUACCACUCACAACAAGGUUGAAUCUGUGUGCAAUUAAAGGUUGGCGAGCGGCUGUUGCAGAUGAUGGAAUAUUGGUUGGAUGCCCAGACCAGGAGGAGAACUUCACACCCUGUCUUAUUCUUAUCACGCUAUCUUUGGAUGAGGGAGUCAAGGCUUGAUUUGGAGCUUUUGUAUUCAGCUUGUCACUUUGUUCGUUAUUUGUCUGGAGUCUUUUAUAGCUGAUAAAAGAAGGCAGAGUCCUGAAUGUGAGCUGCUUGAGGCAGGGCCCAUGUCCUGCUCAUCUUCAUGCCCACUGUUAAUACUUAGCCUACAGAGAGAAGGAAAUGACCACCACAUGUUACAUACCUACUAAGUCAGGCACUAUUCUUGGCAGGUUAUACACAUGAUCUCAUUUAACUAACAUAACAGUUGCGUGACAUAAAUUAUUCUCAAUUUACAGUUGAGAAAACUGAAUACAAG